UCCCGGAUAGUAUGGUGAUUCCGCAUGGUUUCUCCAUUAAAGGAUUCCGGUUACCGAUGGGGAUGCGUUCCAUUAGGCAGUUGGCGGGGUAACGGCCCACCAAACCUACGAUGGAUAGGGGUUCUGAGAGGAAGGUCCCCCACAUUGGAACUGAGACACGGUCCAAACUCCUACGGGAGGCAGCAGUGAGGAAUAUUGGUCAAUGGGCGGAAGCCUGAACCAGCCAAGUAGCGUGAAGGAUGACUGCCCUAUGGGUUGUAAACUUCUUUUAUAAGGGAAUAAAUGUGGGUACGCGUACCCGUUUGCAUGUACCUUAUGAAUAAGGAUCGGCUAACUCCGUGCCAGCAGCCGCGGUAAUACGGAGGAUCCGAGCGUUAUCCGGAUUUAUUGGGUUUAAAGGGAGCGUAGGCGGGCGCUUAAGUCAGCUGUGAAAGUUUGGGGCUCAACCUUAAAAUUGCAGUUGAUACUGGGUGCCUUGAGUGCAGUAUAGGCAGGCGGAAUUCGUGGUGUAGCGGUGAAAUGCUUAGAUAUCACGAAGAACUCCUAUUGCGAAGGCAGCUUGCUGGAGUGUAACUGACGCUGAUGCUCGAAAGUGUGGGUAUCAAACAGGAUUAGAUACCCUGGUAGUCCACACAGUAAACGAUGAAUACUCGCUGUUUGCGAUAUACUGCAAGCGGCCAAGCGAAAGCGUUAAGUAUUCCACCUGGGGAGUACGCCGGCAACGGUGAAACUCAAAGGAAUUGACGGGGGCCCGCACAAGCGGAGGAACAUGUGGUUUAAUUCGAUGAUACGCGAGGAACCUUACCCGGGCUUGAAUUGCAACCGAAUUAUCCGGAGACGGGUAAGCCGCAAGGCGGUUGUGAAGGUGCUGCAUGGUUGUCGUCAGCUCGUGCCGUGAGGUGUCGGCUUAAGUGCCAUAACGAGCGCAACCCUUAUCCACAGUUACCAUCAGGUUAUGCUGGGGACUCUGUGGAGACUGCCGUCGUAAGAUGCGAGGAAGGGGGGGAUGACGUCAAAUCAGCACGGCCCUUACGUCCGGGGCUACACACGUGUUACAAUGGGGGGUACAGCAGGCAGCUCGGCGGCGACGCCCGGCCAAUCCCUAAAUCCCCUCUCAGUUCGGACUGGAGUCUGCAACCCGACUCCACGAAGCUGGAUUCGCUAGUAAUCGCGCAUCAGCCACGGCGCGGUGAAUACGUUCCCGGGCCUUGUACACACCGCC
RNAcentral lists this ribosomal RNA (1222 nucleotides) under Prevotella heparinolytica. RNAcentral's name for it is "bacterial SSU rRNA". It matches the Rfam family "Bacterial small subunit ribosomal RNA", at positions 167 to 1394 of the family's 1533-position model. Lineage: Bacteria; Pseudomonadati; Bacteroidota; Bacteroidia; Bacteroidales; Prevotellaceae. The record is from RNAcentral.